RNAcentral lists this ribosomal RNA (134 nucleotides) under Salmonella enterica. RNAcentral describes it as "partial 16S ribosomal RNA". It matches the Rfam family "Bacterial small subunit ribosomal RNA", at positions 1 to 130 of the family's 1533-position model. RNAcentral also lists the same sequence under 1 other name. The record is from RNAcentral. Lineage: Bacteria; Pseudomonadati; Pseudomonadota; Gammaproteobacteria; Enterobacterales; Enterobacteriaceae.
AAAUUGAAGAGUUUGAUCAUGGCUCAGAUUGAACGCUGGCGGCAGGCCUAACACAUGCAAGUCGAACGGUAACACAGAGAGCUUGCUCUCGGGUGACGAGUGGCGGACGGGUGAGUAAUGUCUGGGAAACUGCC